Long non-coding RNA from Pogoniulus pusillus (Red-fronted tinkerbird), 1501 nucleotides. RefSeq lists it as uncharacterized. Lineage: Eukaryota; Metazoa; Chordata; Aves; Piciformes; Lybiidae. The transcript has 3 exons. The record is from RefSeq and is a predicted model, not a curated record.
GUCAGUCACAGCGCUCUUCCACCGUUGAGCUCCGGCUUGGUUGGCCUUCGCCGCCCGCCUCUCUCGUCAGCUUGACUCUAUUGGUCAGCGUCUGAAGGAGGGGAUGGGGUUUGAGGAACUGACGGAUUAUGAGAGGUCGGGUGAGCUGUCAGUCAGAGGAGCUUUUCGACUACCCGGCGUCAGCAGGCUUGGCUUCUGCCUUUAAAAACCGGAGGACGAGAAGUGCUGUUGUAUGAACUCUGGUGACAAUAAAACCCAUGAUGUUGCAUGGAUAAGCAGACUGACAACUUGGAAGAUUUUUCAGCACCUAAAGAAAAGUGUUUAUAACAGUGGGAUCUGUAAUCAACUGUCACAGAAUCACAGAAUGUGAUUCUCACUUGCAGAGAUCAUAGACCACACAAGAACACAUCCAGGUAGGUUUUGAAGGUCUCCAGUGAAGGAAACUCCACACCUCUGAGCAGCCUGUUCCAGUGCUCUGUAUGUCUCACCAUAAAGAAGUGCCUCUCCAUGUUGGUGUGGAACUCCUUUUGUUCUAGCUUGUACCCAUUGUUCCUUGUCCUGUCACUGGGCACCAAUGAAAAGAGACUGGCACCUUCAUCUUGCUAUCCAUUGCUCAGAUAUGUAUAGACUGUCAGAGCACAGGGAAAGAAUACUGCUGCCUGCUGAAGCUGAUCUAAAACUGGUGUUGCCAAAAGGAGCAGCCAUGUUCUUGCUUCCACUGAAGGCCAUAUGUCCUGUGCAACUUGAUCUAGGCAUACCUGCAUUAGCAGCAGAGGCUGGACCAGAUGAUCUCCAUUGGUCCCUUCCAACUUACCAUUUUGUGAUUCUAUGAUUCUGGUUUUAACUUUUAUGCAACCCUAACAAUCAUGUGGCUGUGCCAAAAGCAGGCUUACUGAUCCACCUGAAAAGUAUCAUGGGAAAGGAAAAAAAAAUCAUUAAUCUUGUGAUAAUUAGUAGGACAAUUGCUAGUGCCAGCUAUUGUUCACACAGUACAGAUUUCAAGCUGUGAAUCAACAUCCACGAGGUUUAAAUUCAGCACGAUAAGAACUGGGAAUACAAAACGCACUACUGCCAAGCUAUUUCACUUUGUGAAAAACAAAUGGGCCAAGGCUUGUGCAGAAGAUGUAAAGGCACAUUAUUACAUUUUUCCAAUAUAAAUGCAGUUGAAAAAGGCUAAAGAAAAUUGUGUUUAUAACAUAAAAGGUUGAGCAGGAUAUAGGAGGAAAAAUAGAAUGAACUAAAAGUAGUUAUCUGACUGAAUGGCUAUUUAAAUAAGCAUAGCAGUGCAGAAGCUUUCAAGCAGGGUUUGGGAUCAUCUUCAGGCUUAACAUAUUAGUACAUCAUAAAGUGCAGUGCAUGAAAGUAAUUUUAAACCCCCAGAUAUUUUUAUUAUACUUUCAUCAAUGCUAUAGAUUAUUUAACAUUUUAUCCACCUUUUUUUUUUUGUUGUCAAGUCUGAAGAUAUUGGAUCCCCUGUAAUAUUAUUUCUUGUUCUCUUGCU